UGGGGAAUCUUAGACAAUGGGGGAAACCCUGAUCUAGCCAUGCCGCGUGAGCGAUGAAGGCCUUAGGGUUGUAAAGCUCUUUCAGUGGGGAAGAUAAUGACGGUACCCACAGAAGAAGCCCCGGCUAACUCCGUGCCAGCAGCCGCGGUAAUACGGAGGGGGCUAGCGUUGUUCGGAAUUACUGGGCGUAAAGCGCACGUAGGCGGAUCAGAAAGUCAGAGGUGAAAUCCCAGGGCUCAACCUUGGAACUGCCUUUGAAACUCCUGAUCUUGAGGUCGAGAGAGGUGAGUGGAAUUCCGAGUGUAGAGGUGAAAUUCGUAGAUAUUCGGAGGAACACCAGUGGCGAAGGCGGCUCACUGGCUCGAUACUGACGCUGAGGUGCGAAAGCGUGGGGAGCAAACA
Molecule: ribosomal RNA, 402 nt
Filed under: uncultured bacterium
Lineage: Bacteria
Also listed under: 1 other name
Description: partial 16S ribosomal RNA
Rfam family: Bacterial small subunit ribosomal RNA
Source: RNAcentral